RNAcentral lists this transfer RNA (72 nucleotides) under Capra hircus (goat). It matches the Rfam family "tRNA". From Rfam's summary of the family: Transfer RNA (tRNA) molecules are approximately 80 nucleotides in length. Their secondary structure includes four short double-helical elements and three loops (D, anti-codon, and T loops). RNAcentral also lists the same sequence under 1 other name. The record is from Rfam by way of RNAcentral. Lineage: Eukaryota; Metazoa; Chordata; Mammalia; Artiodactyla; Bovidae.
UCCCUGGUGGCUCAGACAGUAAAGAGUCUGCCUGCAAUGCAGGAGACCUGGGUUUGAUCCCUGGCUCGGGAA